This is a non-coding RNA of Phrynosoma platyrhinos (Desert horned lizard), 72 nucleotides long. Lineage: Eukaryota; Metazoa; Chordata; Lepidosauria; Squamata; Phrynosomatidae. The record is from the annotation of a GenBank genome assembly.
GACAGUGUGGCAUAGUGGUUUGAGCACUGGACUAUGGCUCUGGAGACCAGGGUUCAGAUCCCCACUGGGUGA